Heterocephalus glaber (naked mole-rat) is the source of this 102-nucleotide small nuclear RNA. The record is from Ensembl. Lineage: Eukaryota; Metazoa; Chordata; Mammalia; Rodentia; Bathyergidae.
UGCUUGCUUCCAUAGCAAUAUUCUAAAAUUGGAAUGAUACAGAGAUCAGCAUGGUCUCUGUGCAAGGAUGACACACAAAUUCGGGGAGUGUUCCUUAUUUUU